CAACAGGGAUUGCCCCAGUAACGGCGAGUGAAGCGGCAACAGCUCAAAUUUGAAAUCUGGCUCUCGGGCCCGAGUUGUAAUUUGUAGAGGAUGCUUUUGGUGAGGUGCCUUCCGAGUUCCCUGGAACGGGACGCCAUAGAGGGUGAGAGCCCCGUCUGGUUGGACACCGACCCUCUGUAAAGCUCCUUCGACGAGUCGAGUAGUUUGGGAAUGCUGCUCUAAAUGGGAGGUAUAUGUCUUCUAAAGCUAAAUACCGGCCAGAGACCGAUAGCGCACAAGUAGAGUGAUCGAAAGAUGAAAAGAACUUUGAAAAGAGAGUUAAAAAGUACGUGAAAUUGUUGAAAGGGAAGCGCUUGUGACCAGACUUGGGCUUGGUUGAUCAUCCGGGGUUCUCCCCGGUGCACUCUUCCGGCCCAGGCCAGCAUCAGUUCGCCCUGGGGGACAAAGGCUUCGGGAAUGUGGCUCUCUCCGGGGAGUGUUAUAGCCCGCUGCGUAAUACCCUGUGGCGGACUGAGGUUCGCGCAUUCGCAAGGAUGCUGGCGUAAUGGUCAUCAGUGACCCGUCUUGAAACACGGACCAAGGAGUCGUCUUCGUAUGCGAGUGUUCGGGUGUCAAACCCCUACGCGAAAUGAAAGUGAACGCAGGUGAGAGCUUCGGCGCAUCAUCGACCGAUCCUGAUGUUAUCGGAUGGAUUUGAGUAAGAGCAUACGGGGCCGGACCCGAAAGAAGGUGAACUAUGCCUGUGUAGGGUGAAGCCAGAGGAAACUCUGGUGGAGGCUCGCAGCGGUUCUGACGUGCAAAUCGAUCGUCAAACAUGGGCAUG
RNAcentral lists this ribosomal RNA (823 nucleotides) under Fusarium witzenhausenense. RNAcentral's name for it is "LSU rRNA". It matches the Rfam family "Eukaryotic large subunit ribosomal RNA", at positions 66 to 919 of the family's 3401-position model. The record is from RNAcentral. Lineage: Eukaryota; Fungi; Ascomycota; Sordariomycetes; Hypocreales; Nectriaceae.